Acanthosepion pharaonis is the source of this 102-nucleotide non-coding RNA. The record is from the annotation of a GenBank genome assembly. NCBI's taxonomy places the organism in Eukaryota, Metazoa, Mollusca, Cephalopoda, Sepiida, Sepiidae.
GCGUUGAAAUAUCGGUUCGCGUACGAUCCCCGAAGUUAAGUAAGGUUGAGCCUGGUCUGUAUCUAGAUAGGAGACCACUUGUGAAUACCAGGUGCUGCAAGC